UACGAAGGGUGCAAGCGUUAAUCGGAAUUACUGGGCGUAAAGGGUGCGUAGGCGGUUGUUUAAGUCUGUCGUGAAAUCCCCGGGCUCAACCUGGGAAUGGCGAUGGAUACUGGACAGCUAGAGUGUGUCAGAGGAAGGUGGAAUUCCAGGUGUAGCGGUGAAAUGCGUAGAGAUCUGGAGGAACACCGAUGGCGAAGGCAGCCUUCUGGGCCAACACUGACGCUCAUGCACGAAAGCGUGGGGAGCAAACAGG
RNAcentral lists this ribosomal RNA (253 nucleotides) under uncultured bacterium. RNAcentral's name for it is "partial 16S ribosomal RNA". It matches the Rfam family "Bacterial small subunit ribosomal RNA", at positions 524 to 776 of the family's 1533-position model. The record is from RNAcentral.